Molecule: transfer RNA, 73 nt
Filed under: Caudoviricetes sp.
Lineage: Duplodnaviria; Heunggongvirae; Uroviricota; Caudoviricetes
Description: tRNA-Gly
Rfam family: tRNA
About the family: Transfer RNA (tRNA) molecules are approximately 80 nucleotides in length.
Source: RNAcentral
GCAGACAUAGUACAUCGGUAGUAUAUCAGCUUCCCAAGCUGAGGAGGCGGGUUCGAUUCCCGUUGUCUGCUUA